CCCUUAGAUGUUCUGGGCUGCACGCGCGCUACACUGAUACUUUCAGCGUGUCCACCACCUUGCCUGAGAGGGUGGGGUAACCUCUGGAAAGUGUAUCGUGAUGGGGAUCGAUUAUUGUAAUUAUUAAUCUUCAACGAGGAAUUCCUAGUAAGCAUGUGUCAUCAGCCCGUGCUGAUUACGUCCCUGCCCUUUGUACACACCGCCCGUCGCACCUACCGAUUGAAUGGUCCGGUGAAGCCUCGGGAUUGCUGUGAGUUUCCUUCAUUGGGAACUCGCGGCGAGAACUUGUCUAAACCUUAUCAUUUAGAGGAAGGUGAAGUUGUAACA
Molecule: ribosomal RNA, 327 nt
Filed under: uncultured eukaryote
Lineage: Eukaryota
Description: partial 18S ribosomal RNA
Rfam family: Eukaryotic small subunit ribosomal RNA
Source: RNAcentral